RNAcentral lists this ribosomal RNA (440 nucleotides) under uncultured bacterium. Its description in RNAcentral is "partial 16S ribosomal RNA". It matches the Rfam family "Bacterial small subunit ribosomal RNA", at positions 338 to 795 of the family's 1533-position model. The record is from RNAcentral.
CCUACGGGAGGCAGCAGUGGGGAAUAUUGCACAAUGGGGGAAACCCUGAUGCAGCAACGCCGCGUGGGUGAAGAAGUAUUUCGGUAUGUAAAGCCCUAUCAGCAGGGAAGAGAAUGACGGUACCUGACUAAGAAGCCCCGGCUAACUACGUGCCAGCAGCCGCGGUAAUACGUAGGGGGCAAGCGUUAUCCGGAUUUACUGGGUGUAAAGGGAGCGUAGACGGUUGUGCAAGUCUGAAGUGAAAGCCCGCGGCUCAACUGCGGAACGGCUUUGGAAACUGUGGAGCUAGAGUGCUGGAGAGGUAAGUGGAAUUCCUAGUGUAGCGGUGAAAUGCGUAGAUAUUAGGAGGAACACCGGUGGCGAAGGCGGCCUGCUGGACUGCAACUGACGUUGAGGCCCGAAAGCGUGGGGAGCAAACAGGAUUAGAUACCCCGGUAGUC